GUGGGGAAUUUUGGACAAUGGGCGAAAGCCUGAUCCAGCCAUGCCGCGUGCAGGAUGAAGGCUCUCGGGUUGUAAACCCCUUUCAGCAGGGACGAAUCAAGACGGUACCUGCAGAAGAAGCCCCGGCUAACUACGUGCCAGCAGCCGCGGUAACACGUAGGGGGCGAGCGUUGUCCGGAUUUAUUGGGCGUAAAGAGCUCGUAGGUGGCUGAGUAAGUCGGAUGUCAAAUCCCCAGGCUCAACCUGGGAUCCCAUCCGAUACUGCUCUGGCUAGAGUCCGGUAGGGGAGCGUGGAAUUCCUGGUGUAGCGGUGAAAUGCGCAGAUAUCAGGAGGAACACCAGCGGCGAAGGCGGCGCUCUGGGCCGGUACUGACACUGAGGAGCGAAAGCGUGGGUAGCAAACAGGAUUAGAAACCCGGGUAGUCC
This 426-nucleotide ribosomal RNA is filed under the name uncultured bacterium. RNAcentral describes it as "partial 16S ribosomal RNA". It matches the Rfam family "Bacterial small subunit ribosomal RNA", at positions 354 to 796 of the family's 1533-position model. The record is from RNAcentral.